Myotis lucifugus (little brown bat) is the source of this 76-nucleotide non-coding RNA. The record is from Rfam. Lineage: Eukaryota; Metazoa; Chordata; Mammalia; Chiroptera; Vespertilionidae.
GGUGGUUCUCAGGUGAUGCACCCUGGAAUCGGGCUCCCUCCUCUCUGGUUCCGAGGUGCGUUACCCGAGAACUGCA